AGAGUUUGAUCAUGGCUCAGGAUUAACGCUGGCGGCGUGCAUGAAACAUGCAAGUCGAGCGCGGCACUUCGGUGUCUAGCGGCGCACGGGUGAGUAACACGUGAGCAACCUACCUUCGAGUCCGGGAUAGCCCUGAGAAAUCAGGAUUAAUACCGGAUGUGGUCACCUGAGGACAUCCUCGGGUGAGUAAAGACGCAAGU
This 200-nucleotide ribosomal RNA is filed under the name uncultured bacterium. Its description in RNAcentral is "partial 16S ribosomal RNA". It matches the Rfam family "Bacterial small subunit ribosomal RNA", at positions 8 to 215 of the family's 1533-position model. The record is from RNAcentral.